CCUACGGGUGGCAGCAGUGGGGAAUAUUGCACAAUGGGGGAAACCCUGAUGCAGCGACGCCGCGUGAGCGAUGAAGUAUUUCGGUAUGGAAAGCUCUAUCAGCAGGGAAGAAAAUGACGGUACCUGACUAAGAAGCCCCGUCUAACUACGUGCCGGCAGCCGCGGUAAUACGUAGGGGGCCAGCGUAAUCCGGAUGUACUGGGUGUAAAGGGAGCGUAGACGGCUGUGCAAGCCAGAUGUGAAAGUCUGGGGCUCAACCCCGGGACUGCAUUUGAAACCGUGUGGCUGGAGUGCAGGAGAGGGAGGCGGAAGUCCUAGUGUAGCGGUGAAAUGCGUAGAUAUUAGGAGGAACACCAGUGGCGAAGGCAGCCUGCUGAACGACGACUGACGUUGAGGCUCGAAAGCGUGGGGAGCAAACAGGAUUAGAUACCCUGGUAGUC
RNAcentral lists this ribosomal RNA (440 nucleotides) under uncultured bacterium. RNAcentral's name for it is "partial 16S ribosomal RNA". It matches the Rfam family "Bacterial small subunit ribosomal RNA", at positions 338 to 795 of the family's 1533-position model. The record is from RNAcentral.